GACGAACGCUGGCGGCGUGCUUAACACAUGCAAGUCGAACGGAAAGGCCCUGCUUUUGUGGGGUGCUCGAGUGGCGAACGGGUGAGUAACACGUGAGUAACCUGCCCUUGACUUUGGGAUAACUUCAGGAAACUGGGGCUAAUACCGGAUAGGAGCUCCUGCUGCAUGGUGGGGGUUGGAAAGUUUCGGCGGUUGGGGAUGGACUCGCGGCUUAUCAGCUUGUUGGUGGGGUAGUGGCUUACCAAGGCUUUGACGGGUAGCCGGCCUGAGAGGGUGACCGGCGACAUUGGGACUGAGAUACGGCACAGACUACUACGGGAGGCAGCAGUGGGGAAUAUUGCAGAAUGGGCGGAAGCCUGAUGCAGCAAAGCCGCGUGCGGGAUGACGGCCUUCGGGUUGUAAACCGCUUUCGCCUGUGACGAAGCGUGAGUGACGGUAAUGGGUAAAGAAGCACCGGCUAACUACGUG
Molecule: ribosomal RNA, 468 nt
Filed under: uncultured bacterium
Lineage: Bacteria
Description: partial 16S ribosomal RNA
Rfam family: Bacterial small subunit ribosomal RNA
Source: RNAcentral